RNAcentral lists this ribosomal RNA (750 nucleotides) under uncultured bacterium. RNAcentral describes it as "bacterial SSU rRNA". It matches the Rfam family "Bacterial small subunit ribosomal RNA", at positions 28 to 776 of the family's 1533-position model. The record is from RNAcentral.
GAUGAACGCUGGCGGCGUGCUUAACACAUGCAAGUCGAACGAAGCACCUUAUUCUGAUUUCUUCGGAAUGAAAAAUUUGGUGACUGAGUGGCGGACGGGUGAGUAACGCGUGGGUAACCUGCCUCAUACAGGGGGAUAACAGUUAGAAAUGGCUGCUAAUACCCCAUGAGACCACAGCACCGCAUGGUGCAGGGGUAAAAACUCCGGUGGUAUGAGAUGGACCCGCGUCUGAUUAGGUAGUUGGUGGGGUAACGGCCUACCAAGCCGACGAUCAGUAGCCGACCUGAGAGGGUGACCGGCCACAUUGGGACUGAGACACGGCCCAAACUCCUACGGGAGGCAGCAGUGGGGAAUAUUGCACAAUGGGGGAAACCCUGAUGCAGCGACGCCGCGUGAGCGAUGAAGUAUUUCGGUAUGUAAAGCUCUAUCAGCAGGGAAGAAAAUGACGGUACCUGACUAAGAAGCCCCGGCUAACUACGUGCCAGCAGCCGCGGUAAUACGUAGGGGGCAAGCGUUAUCCGGAUUUACUGGGUGUAAAGGGAGCGUAGACGGCAAGGCAAGCCAGAUGUGAAAGCCCGGGGCUCAACCCCGGGACUGCAUUUGGAACUGUCAGGCUAGAGUGUCGGAGAGGUAAGCGGAAUUCCUAGUGUAGCGGUGAAAUGCGUAGAUAUUAGGAGGAACACCAGUGGCGAAGGCGGCUUACUGGACGAUGACUGACGUUGAGGCUCGAAAGCGUGGGGAGCANACAGG